CAUCUCGUAUUCAAAGCCGGCUCAGCCAGCACAGUGAAUCUGGGUCCGCCUGAAGCGCAGCACGGCCAUGCUCGUUCGUUGCGGCUACGUUGCGGCCGCGCUGCUUGCUCUGGUGCACGCGGUAGUCGUGUUGGUUGGAGCAAUUACGCCGCCUAAUGGUCCCAUAAAAGUACCCGUUCGCAACGGAAGGUGCAUCUACCGUGGCAGAUCCGUAUGGGAAGCUUACAUCACCCUUGCAGACGGGAAGUGCUUGAAAGCCCGAUGCAAGCCCAAGGAACGCCUGCUGCACUUCAUUCCGAUGAAGGAAUGUAUGCUCCCAGCUGCUGGUAGGGGAUGUUUCUACGAGGACGGACUUUUGGAACAGCAAUGCUGCAGGCCGUCCACGAUUUGCUAUUAGCGACAGCCCCAAAUAAUGGGUGCCCUGUGCCCUCGCAGUCUGUGCUUCGUACUUACCGAAACAGAAGAAUAAACGAUUCGUUGGA
Molecule: long non-coding RNA, 482 nt
Organism: Dermacentor albipictus
Lineage: Eukaryota; Metazoa; Arthropoda; Arachnida; Ixodida; Ixodidae
Source: RefSeq, a predicted model, not a curated record